This 333-nucleotide ribosomal RNA is filed under the name Triticum aestivum (bread wheat). RNAcentral's name for it is "partial small subunit ribosomal RNA". Lineage: Eukaryota; Viridiplantae; Streptophyta; Magnoliopsida; Poales; Poaceae. The record is from RNAcentral.
AUGAAGCAUCCGCCAUCACCACCGUGUGAUGCGUCAUCUGCAGUGAAGCGCGCCGGAGCUGCAGUGAAGCACGCCGGAGUUGUAGUGAAGCUCGCCGGAGCUGCAGUGAAGCAUGCCAGAGGGUCGUCGGAACUUGGUCGGAGUUGCAAUGAAGCGAGCCGGAGGCUCGUUGAAAUUUGGUCGGGGUUGCAAUGGAGCUCCGCCGGAGCUGCAGUGAAGCACACCGAAGGGUCGUCGAACCUGGUCUGGGUUGCAAUGGAGGGCCGGUGGCGCCGCCGGUGCUGCCAUGGAAGCUGCUACUGGGGGGAUACAUGUGGUCAAUUUUGCGUAUGA